CAACAGUUCGGGCAUUUAUGUUUGGGGCUUUUGGAAUUUGCUGUAGCAAUCUUGCUUCGGCUGAGGACAUUAAAGAAGAGAUUGCUAAGGGCUUUAAUGCGAAACGAGCAUCUUGACGUUGGAUUUGACUGGAUUGGGCCUACUAUUUGAGGCGGGUACUUUUGACUUUAUGUCUUUGAUAUGCAUAGUAGUGAAUUUAACAAGUAGCAAUAA
This is a long non-coding RNA of Zingiber officinale, 213 nucleotides long. RefSeq lists it as uncharacterized. The transcript has 3 exons. NCBI's taxonomy places the organism in Eukaryota, Viridiplantae, Streptophyta, Magnoliopsida, Zingiberales, Zingiberaceae. The record is from RefSeq and is a predicted model, not a curated record.